GAGCUCGGCCUCCGCCGGGCGGAGGAACGGGCGGGUUCCUCAGCUGCGGUCCACGGGAGCCUCUAAGUCCAGUAACGGAAAGAAAGCGGCGGUUUCGUCGCAUUUCCGCUGGCGGUUUCGCGCGCGGGGGGAGCGCGGGCGAGGCUUCCCCGGACUGGGGCGGAGACAGAAACUCUCCCCAGUGCCUGGGAAUUCUUCUUGGAUUACUGCGUUUUCAGCAGAGUUUUGUGAGCGUCUCACAUCUGCACCUGGAGAAGAAAGGUUUGUGCACGGGCUCUCCUGGCGUCUAUCUCAGCGCUGCUCUUCCAGAUGUGGAAAGCCUCGGCCGUCCACACUGUGUCCAUCACCCCGG
This is a long non-coding RNA of Cervus elaphus (red deer), 352 nucleotides long. RefSeq lists it as uncharacterized. NCBI's taxonomy places the organism in Eukaryota, Metazoa, Chordata, Mammalia, Artiodactyla, Cervidae. The record is from RefSeq and is a predicted model, not a curated record. The transcript is spliced from 3 exons.